This 319-nucleotide ribosomal RNA is filed under the name Didemnum sp. JV-2023. Its description in RNAcentral is "partial large subunit ribosomal RNA". Lineage: Eukaryota; Metazoa; Chordata; Ascidiacea; Aplousobranchia; Didemnidae. The record is from RNAcentral.
GAAAAGAACUUUGAAAAGAGAGUCAAAGAGAACGCGAAACCGUCCGAAGGAAAAGAAACCGCGAGGGCGAGCCGGCGUUCGGCCCGGUCGCGCGGUGGUGGCCGCCGCCCCACCGUCGUUGACCGCGGUCGAAGAAGGCCGCGACCGACUCGAUCUUGUUCGAAGUCGCUCCGUCACGAACCCGCGUCGCCGUCCCCCGCGGCGCGCGGAGACGCGAGCUUCCGAGAUCUCGAACGGGCCUGGGAGCGCAGAGCGGCGACCGAGCUUCGGCUCGAUCGCGCGCGAGUCUGCGGCUCAUUCGGCGUCGGCCCUGGCGACC